This 27-nucleotide non-coding RNA is filed under the name Homo sapiens (human). The record is from RNAcentral. Lineage: Eukaryota; Metazoa; Chordata; Mammalia; Primates; Hominidae.
UGCGAUGAUGGACCUACUGGUUGAACU